This 73-nucleotide transfer RNA is filed under the name Vibrio parahaemolyticus. RNAcentral describes it as "tRNA-Glu". The record is from RNAcentral. Lineage: Bacteria; Pseudomonadati; Pseudomonadota; Gammaproteobacteria; Vibrionales; Vibrionaceae.
GGGGAAACCCACUCGCAUAAGCGAGUAUCGCUGCGUGAAUACAUAGCGCAGCGAGGCGAACCGGGGGAACUGA